This 770-nucleotide ribosomal RNA is filed under the name uncultured microorganism. RNAcentral's name for it is "bacterial SSU rRNA". It matches the Rfam family "Bacterial small subunit ribosomal RNA", at positions 61 to 860 of the family's 1533-position model. The record is from RNAcentral.
GUCGAGCGGUAACAUGGACUUCGGUCUGAUGACGAGCGGCGGACGGCUGAGUAACGCGCGGGAACAUGCCCCAAAGUGAGGAAUAAGCUCCAGAAAUGGAGUCUAAUGCCGCAUAUGAUCUUCGGAUUAAAGGAUUUAUCCGCUUUGGGAGUGGCCUGCGUAUGAUUAGAUAGUUGGUGAGGUAAUGGCUCACCAAGUCUACGAUCAUUAACUGGUCUGAGAGGAUGAUCAGUCAGACUGGAACUGAGACACGGUCCAGACUCCUACGGGAGGCAGCAGUGAGGAAUCUUCCACAAUGGGCGAAAGCCUGAUGGAGCGACGCCGCGUGCAGGAUGAAGGCCUUCGGGUUGUAAACUGCUUUUAUAAGUGAAGAAUAUGACGGUAACUUAUGAAUAAGCACCGGCUAACUACGUGCCAGCAGCCGCGGUCAUACGUAGGGUGCAAGCAUUAUCCGGAGUGACUGGGCGUAAAGAGUUGCGUAGGUGGUUUGUUAAGCGAAUAGUGAAAUCUAACGGCUCAACCGUUUAGACUAUUAUUCGAACUGGCAAACUCGAGAAUGGUAGAGGUAACUGGAAUUUCUAGUGUAGGAGUGAAAUCCGUAGAUAUUAGAAGGAACACCAAUGGCGUAGGCAGGUUACUGGACCAUUUCUGACACUGAGGCACGAAAGCGUGGGGAGCGAACCGGACUAGAUACCCGGGUAGUCCACGCCGUAAACGAUGGAUACUAGCUGUUGGGGGUAUCGACCCCCCCAGUAGCGAAGCUAACGCGU